Molecule: long non-coding RNA, 783 nt
Organism: Hydractinia symbiolongicarpus
Lineage: Eukaryota; Metazoa; Cnidaria; Hydrozoa; Anthoathecata; Hydractiniidae
Exons: 3
Source: RefSeq, a predicted model, not a curated record
AGAGGUAGAAAUAGAGACACAGGUUGAACUCAUCUUGGUGCUCAUUAAAAUUCUAUUCAAAUUGCUAUUGUUUCGGCAUCCCUUUGAUAUCCAGGCGUGAUGUGCAGUUCACAGGAUUUUUACAAAAAAACAGGUGCUGAAUUUUUCACAGAUUCAUUGUUUUCUAACUUCAAACCUGUCAUAUUGUGUAGUUUUAGCACUGAAAUUGAAAUUCUUUAACUGGAUUUCUCUAAUCUGGUGAUCUGUUGUUUAUAUUUCCUUCUUGUGGUACCAUACCCAAAUGGUAUAUAUAUACCUAUCAAUCCAUUAAAAUAAGGUUUGAGUAGUUCUUAUACAGUGAUGUUGAGAUGGUGUGACCUUUGCUAUAAAUUUAGAAAUUAACUUUUGUCGUUUUAUAAACUAUUUGAUUAUUUUAUAAUAUAAACCUUUUAAAAUUUAACCAUAAUGCCCAAUGCAAGAAUGCAUGGAAUGAACAGAAGUUUUUGCUGCUCAUUUAUUUCUAAUAUAACAUAGAGUUAUAAUGAGAAAAAAUGCUGUAUUUAUUAUAGUAUAUUAAUAAUUGUUUAUCUUAUGAAGUCUAUUUCAUAUUUCUGCACGUGUUCUUUUUCUUGGAUCGACAGAUUUUCAUGGCCAUAUUUUGGUUGAUAUAAAAAAUUGAUUGUGUGCUCAAACCGACUGGUUUUCUUGUUCACUUUGAUCUUAGCCUUUGUUACGUUUUCUACUAUUUCUAUCAAUUUUUGACGUUUUUUAGCAUUUAUAAAUAAAACACAUCUGAUCUUUACC